RNAcentral lists this ribosomal RNA (506 nucleotides) under uncultured bacterium. Its description in RNAcentral is "partial 16S ribosomal RNA". It matches the Rfam family "Bacterial small subunit ribosomal RNA", at positions 28 to 507 of the family's 1533-position model. The record is from RNAcentral.
GACGAACGCUGGCGGCGUGCCUAAUACAUGCAAGUCGAACGCAUUUUCUUUCACCGUAGCUUGCUACACCGAAAGAAAAUGAGUGGCGAACGGGUGAGUAACACGUGGGUAACCUGCCCAUCAGCGGGGGAUAACACUUGGAAACAGGUGCUAAUACCGCAUAUUUCAUUUAACCCCUGGUAAAUGGAUGAAAGGGGCUUUUGCGUCACUGGUGGAUGGGACCGCGGUGCAUUAGCUAGUUGGUGGGGUAACGGCCUACCAAGGCUGCGAUGCAUAGCCGACCUGAGAGGGUGAUCGGCCACACUGGGACUGAGACACGGCCCAGACUCCUACGGGAGGCAGCAGUAGGGAAUCUUCGGCAAUGGACGCAAGUCUGACCGAGCAACGCCGCGUGAUUGAAGAAGGUUUUCGGAUCGUAAAACUCUGUUGUUAGAGAAGAACAAGGAUGAGAGUGGAAAGUUCAUCCCUUGACGGUAUCUAACCAGAAAGCCACGGCUAACUACGUG